This 474-nucleotide ribosomal RNA is filed under the name Clostridioides difficile. RNAcentral's name for it is "bacterial SSU rRNA". It matches the Rfam family "Bacterial small subunit ribosomal RNA", at positions 1 to 500 of the family's 1533-position model. The record is from RNAcentral. Lineage: Bacteria; Bacillati; Bacillota; Clostridia; Peptostreptococcales; Peptostreptococcaceae.
UUUUAUUUGAGAGUUUGAUCCUGGCUAAGGAUGAACGCUGGCGGCGUGCCUAACACAUGCAAGUUGAGCGAUUUACUUCGGUAAAGAGCGGCGGACGGGUGAGUAACGCGUGGGUAACCUACCCUGUACACACGGAUAACAUACCGAAAGGUAUGCUAAUACGGGAUAAUAUAUUUGAGAGGCAUCUCUUGAAUAUCAAAGGUGAGCCAGUACAGGAUGGACCCGCGUCUGAUUAGCUAGUUGGUAAGGUAACGGCUUACCAAGGCGACGAUCAGUAGCCGACCUGAGAGGGUGAUCGGCCACAUUGGAACUGAGACACGGUCCAAACUCCUACGGGAGGCAGCAGUGGGGAAUAUUGCACAAUGGGCGAAAGCCUGAUGCAGCAACGCCGCGUGAGUGAUGAAGGCCUUCGGGUCGUAAAACUCUGUCCUCAAGGAAGAUAAUGACGGUACUUGAGGAGGAAGCCCCGGCUAA